CAGGGGGGGGAGGGUCCCUCACCCAGAUUGUGAGAGAGUGCUGGCCAGGUUGAGGGAACCCACCAGUGCAGG
This is a non-coding RNA of Myotis davidii, 72 nucleotides long. NCBI's taxonomy places the organism in Eukaryota, Metazoa, Chordata, Mammalia, Chiroptera, Vespertilionidae. The record is from Rfam.